Molecule: long non-coding RNA, 3629 nt
Organism: Gasterosteus aculeatus aculeatus (three-spined stickleback)
Lineage: Eukaryota; Metazoa; Chordata; Actinopteri; Perciformes; Gasterosteidae
Source: Ensembl
AUCUAAAUGUAAAUGUUAAAUGUUAUAUCUAAAUGUUAAAUCUAAAUCUAAAUGUUAAAUGUUAUAUCUAAAUGUUAAAUCUAAAUCUCAAUGUUAAAUGUUAUAUCUACAUUUAGAUUUAACAUUUAUAUUAUUUAACAACUUUGUUACUGCCAAACAUCCUUGGAAAAGUUAUUGCAUGAAUGUACAUGAAUUUCUCUCUUAAUGUUGGAAAAAGUGACAUGUGAAUAUUUUUGUGCUUUUUUGUUCAUAUGAUAAGGCUAAAUGUGGAAAAACUGCGCAGAUUUUGAAAUGUGCCACAUUUUACAAACGGCGGCCCAUAGAAGAGAUGUAACUUAAAAGUUGCAUUAAAGUACACAGGUGAGGUGACAAUUAAGUGACCGUCUGGAUGAUAAUAACUACAGUAGUGACGUUACUUAAUUAAGAAACCUGGUUUAACUGUAAUGGGCCAAGCAUCUGCAAACUGAGAAGCAUAACGAGCUUCUUCUGGUUUGAACAGGGAAGCAUCAUGUCAUGGAGCCUCCUUGUGAGAGAGAUUUGCUCUGUAAUCAAACAUUUACAGCAAAGUCCAUUUACUUUUUAAGGAAUCCACUGUGUGUGUGUGUGGGGGGGUACACUGCUGCUCUGUGUACUCUCGGCUGCGGCGUUCCUUCCGUUGGAUCAUUAAACCCUCACAUUUGUGUUUGGGGGAUGUGAACAUGUGGACAGGUCUGCUUUUAGUCAGAGGAGGCUUGUUUAUCUGGAGAGGAGGAUGUGAGAUAACCGCUGCAGGACGAGAGAAACAGUACGUUAUCUCCACCGAAUGGGCUUCGUUAGAAGAAGAGGAACGCCGGGAGGCCCGACGUUCAUCAUGUAAUAAUCUACUUUCACGGUUAACUGAUGAAUCGGCUGUGAGAUGUGUGAAGAUCAGGUGGAAGUAGAAGCAGUCAAAUAGAACGUUUCUUUGGCUUUCAGUGGCUUAAAAAACAACUCAGCGAUUAUUGUGGAUUAAUGUUUCUAAGCUUCAGAAGGAUUUACAAGAUACAAGAUACAAAAUCGUCUACUAGAAACAAACCAUGAGCUCAAUCGUUCCCGUCAGACUCCCGCUGAUUAGAGCCGAGUCAAUUAGUCCUUGAUUGAUGAAGCCGCUGACUGAUAUUCAUCGGCUUCACUUCAUAAUCCAUCUAUUAUUCAAGCCACAGCAAACAAGGCUUUUUGAUUCACUGGCAGCAGCUCAAAUGUGAAUAUUUGCAUUUAAAUGACUGGAAGUUGAAAAUCUUCACAUGUUCACACUAUGAGCAACAAGGGAAGACCACCGGCGCUGACGAGCUCAGCUCGGUCCAAAGUUGAUCCCACUGCUUUUCCUGGCGAGACCCAGACCAUCUGUUUGAAAUGGACCAUAAUUCACUAAAUGAACAUCAUGCUGCGUUGAAGAAGACUUGAAACUACAGAUUGAGGCCAUAAACUCAUGUUUACAGUGUUUACUGAGGGAAUAAAUCAAGAGAGAAGUAGAGUCAUUUUCUCAUAGACGUCUAUGGGACCAGAUGAGUCGCCCCCUGCUGUUCACUACGGAGAAUGCAGCUUUAACGUUUCAACCAUAGUUUAAGGUUUAGUGAUUUAUAUUUGUAUCCAUAAAAUGUUGGAUGGUAGUAGAAAAAAGCUCAAGAUGACAGGGUGAAGAUCAAUUGAUAAUGAACAUUUUUUAUAGUAAUAAUUUCAAACGUUAUUGUUUUCGGCAACACAUCAUGUGAUAAAUGUUUUUUUCAUGCUGUUCUCUUCUCCGUUUCUUAGAACAGCAAAUAUUAAAAUACAAAGAAGAAUUUGUAAAUCACUUCCACCUUAACAGUCUGUAAUGGGCAGAUUAAUCCAUGAUGAAAAUAGAAAAUUGCAGUACUGUAAUUGAUUAUAAAAAUGUCAACAUCAGAAGAAUUACAAAGCGAUAUAAAUGUUGUAUAUUAAAUAAUUUUCUCCGUAACCGUGUUCUCAUCAAAUGUGAAUGUUCUCGUCAUCAAGGUGUUCAUCUCAACACUUUAAUACCCAGCAUCGUGUAGGGAAAGCGGGACUCACCGUGCGCGUACACGUAAACAGACACAACGUGAAGAAGAGUAAACUCCUCAUCGUCUCUGCUCGGGUACGAGCCGAACCGAGCCGAGUCGAACCAAACCCGGAGACAAAAACUAGAGUCCCGGACUUAAUUUAAACUCCACGUUACUUUGGGUCAUCCCGUCCGAAGCAUCUGCAUGUUGUUUCAACUCCAUUAAUGAAAAAGGAACAUUUAAAAAAGCGCAGUGGAAAUAAAAAAGCAUGGAUAUUUGGGAGUCGCUGAGAGGAGUGAUGCGCGGGAUCGGGAACACGCACCUCCAUCUGGCACGCGCAGCGACGCGCACGGAGAUGGUUCUGGGGUUCAAAAUAAAAGCAUUAUUGAGGAUUAUUGUAAAAUAUAGAAAUAGAAUUACUGUAAGUAAUUUAUUGAAGUCUUCUCAAUCCUCUUUUUGUUGUAUUGGAUGUGUUUUUUCAUGUCAGGCAGCCAUUAAGUUAAAUUACUUAUUAAUAUCAGGUUGUCUCGUGUCUAUAUUGUCUCGUGAUUUCCUGUUUUAUUUUGAAACUAACCUUCAGUUUCAGACAACUUGCUCUUUCCCCCGUGUGCCGGUCCGAUUGUCCGCCCGCCCCUGACUGUUCCCACCUGUGCCUUUAACCUGUGUGUGUUAUAUUGUCUGCGUCUCCCUUUGUCCUGUGCCAUUUCGUCUUGUCCCAUGUCACAGAGAGCCAGCGCGUACCAAUGUCGACUGUCAAGUCCAAGGUUUUUUGUACCUUGUUCAGGCGCUUUCUGUCGAUUCCUUUUUCAGCCUAGUGGGUUUUUUUCUAGAUCAUUUUUGUUCUUAGAUUUAGUAUAGUUUUUAUUUUCCUCUACCAAGAGUGAUUUUCAUUUGCUGCCUAUUUUGUUCAAAACUUCAUCGCCUCAGGAAAGGUGCAUUUGGGUUCAGGGUCGUGACCGGAAACACACAGGUCUAUCAGAGGUCAAGUGGUACAGGAUGUAGAAUAACGCGGUGGUUUUCAAGUGGUUUUAUUUUAAACAAUAAAAGGUUAAAAACGUAUUUAAUCAUUGAGUUAAAUGUGAAAGAAAACAUUUUAAAGAAAUUAUAAAUGCGCCCAUCAAAAAUACACAAUCACAACCAUCUUGGUUGGUCUUUCCAGAGGAUGGGGCUUGGUCAUUAUUGGGUAUUUAUUCCUCGAGUUAUAUGUAAAUCAAAAUGGCAAAUAUGUUCUCUGGUCAUCAUGACGCUGUUGACAGAAACAAUCAUUUGACCUUAAAAGUGAGCUCUUUUUUUAAGGAAUUAGAUGUACAGAAUGAAUAAACAAUCGAGAUACCCUCAUGCACCUGAUUAUUGUAGUAGUGUUGAGCCCAUGAAGCCUGUCAUCAAUAUGCUGUCAGAUAUUUCCACCACUAGUUUAUUUAUUGAGUGCAGCAAAAGUCUGUUUUUUUAAGAAACAGAUUUGGGAGAACACUUAGAGUAGAGUAGUAAAGUAGAAGUUAAUUGUUUUAACAAUCUUUCCUCACCUUUCGAAUUUACGUUACUAUAAUGUAUUUUUUAUCACUCUAAAUAAAAACUUUCAGUGUUUCUUCAGAUCAAUUGUGACUUUACAAAAAA